RNAcentral lists this long non-coding RNA (660 nucleotides) under Linum usitatissimum (flax). Its description in RNAcentral is "long non-coding RNA (LUSI_LNC002344)". The record is from RNAcentral. Lineage: Eukaryota; Viridiplantae; Streptophyta; Magnoliopsida; Malpighiales; Linaceae.
AAUAGCAUCACCACCACCACGUUCCUCAGAAUCAUCAUCGUCGACGAUCUCUUCUUCCUCCUCUCUUCCCUCCUUUUUCAACGGAUUUACCGUAUUCCAAUCUUAACAAACUCCAACCGACAAAAAAUCAAAACGCAACGGACUAGAACCCAAAAUAGAGAUUCGUACGCCUCCGUCCGGUGAUCCGUCUCCUCUUCCCAGUCACUACCACAAAACCGUACCCGAAUCACAACCCCCGCCGCCGCCGCCGCCAAGGGAAGCGCUAUACAUAGAAAGCGAUAACUCGGAACAGGAUGAUAACCAGAUAGCGAUUGCGUUGACAGCAGAGGAAUGGAGAAUGUCGGAGGAAGUCGGAGGGAAGAAGCAAGGGAUUGCCGCCGGGAGGGAAGGAGAGAUGGACGGAGGGAAAGGAAUUGAGUGACAGGGAAGAAAAAGAAAGGGAAAGGGUAAAAGGAAAGAUGGGGAGAGAGUCUAAUUAUUGGCUAUGGCGAGACAGCACGGCCAAGUAAAGGAGCAAUUUAAGUAAUUAAUUUAAAGAGAUAAUUAAAUUAUUAAUUAAUCGGUGUUUAAACGAGUAAUCGCCGAUAAAUUAGACAGGAGGGGUGUGAGGAUUUGUCAUGGGAAUCACAUGUGGGGUUUGUAAGGGGUUGUUUGUUUGUG